Molecule: ribosomal RNA, 180 nt
Filed under: uncultured bacterium
Lineage: Bacteria
Description: partial 16S ribosomal RNA
Rfam family: Bacterial small subunit ribosomal RNA
Source: RNAcentral
CCUACGGGAGGCAGCAGUGGGGAAUCUUCCGCAAUGGACGAAAGUCUGACGGAGCAACGCCGCGUGAACGAUGAAGGUCUUCGGAUUGUAAAGUUCUGUGAUCCGGGACGAAGGCAUUUGAUUGAGAACAUUGAUUGAUGUUGACGGUACCGGAAAAGCAAGCCACGGCUAACUACGUGC